Molecule: transfer RNA, 73 nt
Filed under: Mus musculus (house mouse)
Lineage: Eukaryota; Metazoa; Chordata; Mammalia; Rodentia; Muridae
Rfam family: tRNA
About the family: Transfer RNA (tRNA) molecules are approximately 80 nucleotides in length.
Source: Rfam by way of RNAcentral
CUGGAGGUGGCUCAGUGGUUAAGAGCACUGACUGCUCUUCCAGAGGUCCUGAGUUCAAUUCCCAGCAACCACA